Molecule: long non-coding RNA, 583 nt
Organism: Cyclopterus lumpus (lumpfish)
Lineage: Eukaryota; Metazoa; Chordata; Actinopteri; Perciformes; Cyclopteridae
Exons: 2
Source: RefSeq, a predicted model, not a curated record
UGUGUGUGUGUGUGUGUGUGUGUGUGUGUGUGUUCGUGUUCGUGUUCCUCUGCAGGUGAAGCUCUCUAAACUCACAUGGAUCCUGCUGGCCCUGUUUAAAGGCCCUGUAGAUGUUGAUGAGGGUGAAGUGGUCUCCCUCUGGGUGCUGGAGCUUCAUGUGGCACCGGGUCACCUCCGGUUUCAGCUCCGCAGAGGGAACCGUGAAGCAAGUUGGCGCUAAAGAAAACCAAAAAACAGGAUAAACGUGAUGUUUAGAACGUUGCUGUUUACGAUACACAAACAGAUAUUGGUUGAAAUGCAACACGUUACCUGUUAGCAUGGCAGCGGCUAUGACCACUUCGCUGACACAGUCAAACUCACAGGAAGCGAGCAGAGUCUUGGCCAUUUGGGGCUCCAAGGGGAACUCGGACAUGAUGAUGCCCAUUUCAGACAAGUUCCCAUCAUUAUCCAGAGCUGCAAGAUCCGGGGGAACAAAGGCCCAGGGAAGCAGGUCAUCUCUAAAAGGAUGCUGCCGAACAGGAGCUGUCAGCUCAGCUGAUUCACGGCCCACUGCCUCCCAAUAAAGUGUUGCAACAAAAGGAAA